GAUGAACGCUGACAGAAUGCUUAACACAUGCAAGUCAACUGUGGCGGACGGGUGAGUAACGCGUAAAGGACUUGCCUCUCAGCUAGGGACAACAUUUGGAAACGAAUGCUAAUACCGGAAACUGUGAGAGAGCUUUGCGUCCCAUUAGCUAGUAGGAGAGGUAACGGCUCACCAAGGCGAUGAUGGGUAGCCGGCCUGAGAGGGUGAUCGGCCACAAGGGGACUGAGACAAGGCCCUUACUCCGACGGGAGGUAGCAGUGGGGAAGAUUGGAAAAUGGACCAAAGUAUGAUCCAGCAAUUCUGUGUGCACGAUGAAGUUUUCGGAAUGUAAAGUGCUUUCAGUUGGGAAGCGGUACCAACAGAAGAAGUGACGGCUAAAUACGUGCCAGCCGCCGCAGUAAUAC
RNAcentral lists this ribosomal RNA (404 nucleotides) under uncultured bacterium. RNAcentral describes it as "partial 16S ribosomal RNA". It matches the Rfam family "Bacterial small subunit ribosomal RNA", at positions 28 to 526 of the family's 1533-position model. The record is from RNAcentral.